RNAcentral lists this ribosomal RNA (241 nucleotides) under uncultured Glomus. RNAcentral describes it as "partial small subunit ribosomal RNA". The record is from RNAcentral. Lineage: Eukaryota; Fungi; Glomeromycota; Glomeromycetes; Glomerales; Glomeraceae.
UUUGGAGGGCAUAUCUGGUGCCAGCAGCCGCGGUAAUUCCAGCUCCAAUAGCGUAUAUYAAAGUUGUUGCAGUUAAAAAGAUCGUAGUUGAAUUUUCGGGGUUAGUAGGUUGGUCAUGCCUCUGGUAUGUACUGGUCUCACUGAUUUCCUCCUUCCUGAUGAACCGUAAUGCCAUUAAUUUGGUGUUGCGGGGAAUUUGGACUGUUACUUUGAAAAAAUUAGAGUUUUAAAAAGCAGGCAA